CUUUGAGCAUGAUUGGUUAAUCUGUCUGUUUAACAGGAAACUGUCCAAUGAGAAUGUGCGCGGCUCUGCGCGCCUAUUUUAAAUUUGAAAAUAUGUCCGUUACUCUCGGUCGGAGCAGCUGCUUUGCGUUGAUUACUCGGUCAGACCUGGAUUAUUUUAUAUCUGCCUGUUGAAUUCUUACAUUUUGAGCGAAUUUUAGUUUGAUAUGACAAUGAAGAUCAAAAGCUGGAAUGUGAACAGAGGAAGGGGUCGUACGUGGUCUGUAAAAACUGGCGAUAUCAGAUCAAGCUUUGUAAUAAGAUUUUUAUCGGGGGAGAACACCCAACAGAAAGACCCAUGAUUCACCAACUGGCGCACUGAAAGGGGAGAUUCAUGUCACCUUCAUCAGUCCUUUCUUUAAUCACUGGACACCAUUAAGGGAAAGACCCUCAGACGUGUCAUAAUAGGAUAAAUGCGGCUGCAGGUAAAAUUAUUUGAUGGGGUUAGGGUUAUUUAAUUUUGGUGUACCAAUUGGCUUUUUUUUGUGUGCUUCCCUUGCUAUGAUACACAUUUCUGAUGGGAUUGCCAUGCUUUAAGUGUAUGUUUACAUUUUUAAUCAUGUAAUAACUA
Molecule: long non-coding RNA, 609 nt
Organism: Cyprinus carpio (common carp)
Lineage: Eukaryota; Metazoa; Chordata; Actinopteri; Cypriniformes; Cyprinidae
Exons: 3
Source: RefSeq, a predicted model, not a curated record